This 460-nucleotide ribosomal RNA is filed under the name uncultured bacterium. RNAcentral describes it as "partial 16S ribosomal RNA". It matches the Rfam family "Bacterial small subunit ribosomal RNA", at positions 338 to 795 of the family's 1533-position model. The record is from RNAcentral.
CCUACGGGAGGCAGCAGUGAGGAAUAUUGGUCAAUGGACGAAAGCCUGAACCAGCCAAGUCGCGUGAAGGAUGACGGCUCUAUGAGUUGUAAACUUCUUUUGUAUGGGGAUAAACUGAGGCACGUGUUCCUUUUUGUAUGUACCAUAUGAAUAAGCAUCGGCUAACUCCGUGCCAGCAGCCGCGGUAAUACGGAGGAUGCGAGCGUUAUACGGAUUUAUUGGGUUUAAAGGGUGCGUAGGUGGUGAAUUAAGUCAGCGGUGAAAUGUGGUGGCUUAACGAGAAGAUUGCCGUUGAAACUGGUGGACUGGAGUAGAUUUGAGGUAGGCGGAAUGCGUGGUGGAGUGGUGAAAUGCAGAGAGAUGACGCAGAACUCAGAUUGCGAAGGCAGCAUACUAAAGGAUAACUGACACUGAAGCACGAAAGCGUGGGGAUCAAACAGGAGUAGAUACCCGUGUAGGC